This 802-nucleotide ribosomal RNA is filed under the name uncultured bacterium. Its description in RNAcentral is "bacterial SSU rRNA". It matches the Rfam family "Bacterial small subunit ribosomal RNA", at positions 99 to 907 of the family's 1533-position model. The record is from RNAcentral.
CGGACGGGUGAGUAACACAUGGGUGACCUACCCUUGGGUGAGGGAUACCGGCGAGAAAUCGCCGACAAGCCCGCAUAGGCUCGAUCUGGUGGAGCGGAGCGAGCAAAGUCUUCUUUCGGGGAGACGCCAGAGGAUGGGCCUGUGGCCGAUUAGCUGGUUGGUGGGGUAAGAGCCCACCAAGGCGACGAUCGGUAGCUGGUCUGAGAGGACGAACAGCCACACUGGGAUUGAGAACGGCCCAGACUCCUACGGGGGGCAGCAGUGAGGAAUUUUCCGCAAUGGGCGAGCAGCCUGACGGAGCAACGCCGCGUGCAGGAGGACGCCUUUCGGAGUGUAAACUGCUUUUCUGUGGGACGAGGAAGGACGGUACCACAGGAAGAAGCCCCGGCUAACUACGUGCCAGCAGCCGCGGUAAUACGUAGGGGGCGAGCGUUGUCCGGAGUUACUGGGCGUAAAGGGCAUGCAGGCGGUCGGGCGCGUUUGGUGUGACAGCGCAGGGCUCAACUCUGCGAGCAUACGAAAGACGGCCUGACUUGAGGGCUCGAGAGGGACACGGAAUUCCGGGUGGAGUGGUGAAAUGCGUAGAGAUCCGGAGGAACACCGAAGGCGAAGGCAGUGUCCUGGCGAGUAUACCUGACGCUGAGGUGCGGAAGCCAGGGGAGCGAACGGGAUUAGAUACCCCGGUAGUCCUGGCCGUAAACGAUGACCACCAGGUGUGGGAGGUAUCGACCCCUUCUGUGCCAAAGGGAACCCAUUAAGUGGUCCGCCUGGGGAGUACGGUCGCAAGAUUAAAACUCGAAGG